GAUGAACGCUGGCGGCGUGCCUAAUACAUGCAAGUCGAGCGAACAGACGAGGAGCUUGCUCCUCUGACGUUAGCGGCGGACGGGUGAGUAACACGUGGAUAACCUACCUAUAAGACUGGGAUAACUUCGGGAAACCGGAGCUAAUACCGGAUAAUAUAUUGCACCGCAUGGUUCAAUAGUGAAAGACGGUUUUGCUGUCACUUAUAGAUGGAUCCGCGCCGCAUUAGCUAGUUGGUAAGGUAACGGCUUACCAAGGCAACGAUGCGUAGCCGACCUGAGAGGGUGAUCGGCCACACUGGAACUGAGACACGGUCCAGACUCCUAAGGGAGGCAGCAGUAGGGAAUCUUCCGCAAUGGGCGAAAGCUUGACGGAGCAACGCCGCGUGAGUGAUGAAGGUCUUCGGAUCGUAAAACUCUGUUAUUAGGGAAGAACAAAUGUGUAAGUAACUAUGCACGUCUUGACGGUACCUAAUCAGAAAGCAACGGCUAACUACGUG
This 497-nucleotide ribosomal RNA is filed under the name uncultured bacterium. RNAcentral's name for it is "partial 16S ribosomal RNA". It matches the Rfam family "Bacterial small subunit ribosomal RNA", at positions 28 to 507 of the family's 1533-position model. The record is from RNAcentral.